UUAAUUAAAUCCGGUUUUUUUUAAAAAAAAAAACAAAGAAACCAAAAUCCCUUCAUUUAUGGAAACCAUAAUAAGAAAGUAGUUGGUUUUUGAAGAUGGAAAACAUGUAAAAUUGAAAAAUAUAACUUAAAUUUCUCAAAAUCUUAGGACUAAAAUGUUUUUGAUCCAAGCUUAUCGAUGGAUCUGUGACAGGUAACUUGUUAUUCUUGCAGCCCUUCGCCCCCACAACCGAGCCUGUCCCUACAAAGACGAACAAUGGUGGAUGUAGGCAAGGGAUGACCUUCGAGAAUUACUGAAUCAGGUAAAAAACACGAGCAGAACUCAAAAAUUCCUUAUAGCCCGCUAAUGUGUGACUCUUGAUGAAGCUGAGAGUAUCAAAAAGCAGAACCAGAGCAUUCAGAAGUAAAAAAUAGGACAAAUAUCUACCCAGAAAAACAAGGAUACAAGAUAUGGGGAUAAGAGCGGGUCCUGCAUACCUUGAUAUCUUCAUGAGGAAUUCCCCUGGCUGGAGCAAUUAGAUCUUUGGUAGCCUGCAAAUUAAUGACAAGUAAAUCUAAAGCUAAGCCAAAUUAUCUUUGAUGUCUUGAAAUACAGGUGAUAAAUCGUGAUAGGUGAAGGGUGAUAAUUAAAAAGUGAAGAGCAAGACAGGUGCAGAAGGGAGAAGAAGAUAAAUCGUCUUUGGCUCUUUGCUCUUUGGUGUGGGCGGCGGCUUCAGU
Molecule: long non-coding RNA, 716 nt
Filed under: Populus tremula
Lineage: Eukaryota; Viridiplantae; Streptophyta; Magnoliopsida; Malpighiales; Salicaceae
Description: long non-coding RNA (PTRE_LNC001878)
Source: RNAcentral